This 460-nucleotide ribosomal RNA is filed under the name uncultured bacterium. RNAcentral's name for it is "partial 16S ribosomal RNA". It matches the Rfam family "Bacterial small subunit ribosomal RNA", at positions 338 to 795 of the family's 1533-position model. The record is from RNAcentral.
CCUACGGGAGGCAGCAGUGAGGAAUAUUGGUCAAUGGACGAGAGCCUGAACCAGCCAAGUAGCGUGAAGGAUGACUGCCCUACGGGUUGUAAACUUCUUUUAUAUAGGAAUAAAGUUCAGUAUGUAUACCGUUUUGUAUGUACCAUAUGAAUAAGGAUCGGCUAACUCCGUGCCAGCAGCCGCGGUAAUACGGAGGAUCCGAGCGUUAUCCGGAUUUAUUGGGUUUAAAGGGAGCGUAGGCGGACGCUUAAGUCAGUUGUGAAAGUUUGCGGCUCAACCGUAAAAUUGCAGUUGAAACUGGGAGUAUUGAGUACAGUAGAGGUAGGCGGAAUUCGUGGUGUAGCGGUGAAAUGCUUAGAUAUCACGAAGAACUCCGAUUGCGAAGGCAGCUUACUAGAAUGUAACUGACGCUGAUGCUCGAAAGUGUGGGUAUCAAACAGGAUUAGAUACCCGAGUAGUC